UUAGAUUCUUAAAAUUUAACAGAGGUGAAAAAAUGGCUUUCUCAAAAUUAAAGGCAAUAAGUUUUAUUCCAUCUAUCCUUGGGGGGAAAAUAGUUAUUUUGCUAUGAGAAAAAAGGUUCAUUCGAAAGUCAAAUCUCUCUCCCUCUCUCGCUUUCUCUUCACUGCAUUUAUUUUUUAAAUAUAAAUAUCGAUUGUUUCUCUCUGAAAAGGUGAUUUCGAGAAAUGAAUGAGGCUAUCUUACAUAUCGAAGAGAUUGGUGAUUCAAAUGCCGCAGAGUUUCACCAGCUUUGCGACGCUCAAUAUGAUUCCUCAGUUUUCGGAGUUGGAGGGAUCUGUAAGGCUUUAAUUGGUCUGGAAAUCACCGCCACGAGGUGUAAACAUUAAUUAAUCUGGACGACUUAUAAUAUGUUGUUUUGUUGUGAGAUUAAUUAAGGCUUAUGAUUACAGGUUCGACAUUAUAUUUAACCGACUGACAAGAAUUAAGAUGAAUGGAAUGUCGGAGAAGGCUUAUACCAGAUCCUUUAAUUUGCUUUACUUUUUUUUGUUGUUUCAUGUUGAUUUUAAUCUGAUGUGGAUUGUGUUAUUGAUAAGAAUAUGUUGCGGUUUGAUGUGGAUUGUGGUUUGAUAAGAAUAUGGGUCUAUUAGGCUUAUUCAAUUUGCCUGAAAGGGGUUGUGAGAGGGCUUAAAGCAAAGUCUUUUAUUUGAAAUUUCUAAUAUUUUACCAGUUUUUAUUUAGAAAGUUUAAAUUAUGUAUAUUCUGUUUAGAACAGAUUGAUUGAGCAUAUUGAUGACAUUUUCUACUUGUUAGUAGAAAUUCUUCUUCGAAGGGAAUCCCUAAAGUCAAGGAUUUGGCUUGGCCUAUCUUUAGAAGAUGUUGUGCUGUUCAAAUUUAUCUUAUUGGUAUUGGUGUGAUAAGAUUUCAUUCAAAUGUUAUUGGCCAGAAAGACACCUUCAAUGGAAUUCAUCGAUUCUUCUAGGAAAGAAGAGCAACAUACUAACUUGCAUUCACUCUUUGCUUUACAAUAUUCAAUUGCUAAUAAGUAUUGAUGUAUGCUAUGGAGGUCUAAUACCAUUGAGGUUGAGCAGAGAAAGUGGUCCUGUGAUGUGUGAAGAUGAAGCUAACAAAGCUAUGGUGGAAGAAGAUCAUGACAAGGGCAAUGGAAUAAUUGAAGGUCUCUAUCAGUAUAAUUUUCAGAAAGUGAGAAUCACCAGCUGGUUACCAUAUUGAUAAUCAUUGGAUUAUUUCUGUUGAGCUGAGUGAACAUUGCGUGAAGCAUGUCGCGUGCCCAGUUCCAACAUAUAGAGGCAACAAAGAUGAUAAUAAUGCAGAUGAGAUUGCUUAUGCUCAGGUGGUUGAUGCUCAGCACCAAGACCAAUUUCAUUUUUUCGUCUAAAUUGAAUUGGGUUUUUGGUUUCUUAGUUUCAAACUGUGUAAACACCUGGCAUAUGAAACCAAGUGUUCUUUUCUUGGUAAGAACAUGUGUUCUGUGUGUUUUUUUCUUUUCUUAUUUAAUAAUUGCAGAUCUUAUGGAAGCCCUUAAAAUAACAGUAUUUAGUAUAUGAUUAAUGUCAAUGAUCAUAUUCUGUCA
Mangifera indica (mango) is the source of this 1589-nucleotide RNA transcript. RefSeq lists it as uncharacterized. The record is from RefSeq and is a predicted model, not a curated record. Lineage: Eukaryota; Viridiplantae; Streptophyta; Magnoliopsida; Sapindales; Anacardiaceae. The transcript has 6 exons.